This 1196-nucleotide long non-coding RNA is filed under the name Chrysolophus pictus (golden pheasant). RNAcentral describes it as "lncRNA (ENSCPIG00010000723.1)". The record is from RNAcentral. Lineage: Eukaryota; Metazoa; Chordata; Aves; Galliformes; Phasianidae.
GAGCCAGCACAGCCAACGUUUACACUUUUUCCUAGGUGAAGCAGUAACAGUUCAUGGAGCUGCCCUUCACAAACCUGGAAGUAGCUUUCAUCUUACUGGCUUUUGUCAUUUUCUCCUUGUUCACCUUGGCAUCUAUCUACAGUGACCCCCAUGGCAAGGAAGAAGAAGAAUGCUCUACACAGGAAGUACACAGGAAAAGAAGCAAAUCCAAGAAGAAAAAGACACAUGCAAACACAGCUGAAUUGGUUUAGAGAAAGAAUUGUUACCCAGGUCCAACAUUGGAAACACAUCUGAAAGAGAUAACCUUGGAAGCUGGUCACCUGGACACAGUGAGAAAAAGGGUGUGAGAAAGGAAGGACCUGAUCAUCCAUCAGAUGGAAUCCAGACGUGACAAUUAGAGUUAAUGAACCACGACCCAAGAAGCAGUUUCAGCACUUUUUACAAUCCCACUUCAUGGCCUCAGUAAAACUUUCAGGGCUUUUUUUUUUUUUUUUUUCCCCACAGAACACAUCUGCUCCAAAUUCUAAAGGGAGAAACUGGUUUCAGAAGUUACGUUUGGUUUCUUCCCCACUUUUCAGUCAUGUACGAGGUAAAUGCAAAAUCUUUGUUAACUGAAAAUCAGAAGAUACUGCUUCUAUGAUGAGAUUUUAUAGUAUUAUUACAGUAGCUAUUUAAUUUAUAUUAAAAUUAAUGAACUGAUAAAGCUGACUGAAAAACACCAAGCAAAUAUUUUCAAAACAUAACCAGUAUGUCAUGUUCAAAUACUGGUUUUGUCCUCAGAUACUCAGAACGCUAAGAGAAUGUCUCAAAGAAGGAAAAAAAAAAGAAGUUGACUGAUACCUAAGUCUUCUAUUUCUUCACAGAGCAGGUAUAGCUAAUGAAGCUGUGCCUCUUUAUCCCCAAAGUCCAGAAGAUCUGCUGAACUUCUAAGCCUGUGAUGCAAUUNNNNNNNNNNNNNNNNNNNNNNNNNNNNNNNUUUCCCUAUGGGCAAAGUAUUCCUGCAGUCAGAGCCUCUCAAUAGUUUCUCAGAAUCACAAAAAUCCAUCCAUUUGGUCUUUUGCUGUUACGUGGAAUGAAGGAUUGAAAUAGGGCCAAACGACUCUUGGUGGCUCUCUUCCCAUACCAGAUACACCUUUCCUUGGCCUCCUCCUAAGAUGUGUUACCAAAAUAUAACAAUUCACUCUGAAACCUGCUAC